AGCUUGCUACCUGACCUAGCGGCGGACGGGUGAGUAAUGCUUAGGAAUCUGCCUAUUAGUGGGGGACAACAUUCCGAAAGGAAUGCUAAUACCGCAUACGCCCUACGGGGGAAAGCAGGGGAUCUUCGGACCUUGCGCUAAUAGAUGAGCCUAAGUCAGAUUAGCUAGUUGGUGGGGUAAAGGCCUACCAAGGCGACGAUCUGUAGCGGGUCUGAGAGGAUGAUCCGCCACACUGGGACUGAGACACGGCCCAGACUCCUACGGGAGGCAGCAGUGGGGAAUAUUGGACAAUGGGCGCAAGCCUGAUCCAGCCAUGCCGCGUGUGUGAAGAAGGCCUUUUGGUUGUAAAGCACUUUAAGCGAGGAGGAGGCUACUUGGAUUAAUACUCUAGGAUAGUGGACGUUACUCGCAGAAUAAGCACCGGCUAACUCUGUGCCAGCAGCCGCGGUAAUACAGAGGGUGCGAGCGUUAAUCGGAUUUACUGGGCGUAAAGCGUGCGUAGGCGGCUUCUUAAGUCGGAUGUGAAAUCCCUGAGCUUAACUUAGGAAUUGCAUUCGAUACUGGGAAGCUAGAGUAUGGGAGAGGAUGGUAGAAUUCCAGGUGUAGCGGUGAAAUGCGUAGAGAUCUGGAGGAAUACCGAUGGCGAAGGCAGCCAUCUGGCCUAAUACUGACGCUGAGGUACGAAAGCAUGGGGAGCAAACAGGAUUAGAUACCCUGGUAGUCCAUGCCGUAAACGAUGUCUACUAGCCGUUGGGGCCUUUGAGGCUUUAGUGGCGCAGCUAACGCGA
This 788-nucleotide ribosomal RNA is filed under the name uncultured bacterium. RNAcentral describes it as "bacterial SSU rRNA". It matches the Rfam family "Bacterial small subunit ribosomal RNA", at positions 77 to 860 of the family's 1533-position model. The record is from RNAcentral.